This 438-nucleotide ribosomal RNA is filed under the name uncultured bacterium. RNAcentral's name for it is "partial 16S ribosomal RNA". It matches the Rfam family "Bacterial small subunit ribosomal RNA", at positions 33 to 507 of the family's 1533-position model. The record is from RNAcentral.
ACGCUGGCGGCAUGCCUAACACAUGCCAGUCGAUCGGUAAGGCUCUUCGGAGUACACGAGAGGCGGACGGCUGAGUAACGCGUAGGAACACACCCUGCAGUGAGGGAUAAGACACCGAAAGGUGUUCUAAUACCGCAUACGGUCUUCGGAUUAAAGCAUUUAUGCGCUGAAGGAGUGGCCUGCGUCAUAUUAGAUAGUUGGUGAGGUAAUGGCUCACCAAGUCGAUGAUGUGUAGCUGGUCUGAGAGGAUGAUCAGCCAGACUGGAACUGAGACACGGUCCAGACUCCUACGGGAGGCAGCAGUGAGGAAUAUUUCACAAUGAGCGAAAGCUUGAUGGAGCAAUGCCGCGUGCAGGAUGAAGGCCCUCGGGUUGUAAACUGCUUUUAUAAGAGAAGAUUAUGACGGUAACUUAUGAAUAAGGGACGGCUAACUACGUG